Molecule: ribosomal RNA, 467 nt
Filed under: uncultured bacterium
Lineage: Bacteria
Description: partial 16S ribosomal RNA
Rfam family: Bacterial small subunit ribosomal RNA
Source: RNAcentral
GACGAACGCUGGCGGCGUGCUUAACACAUGCAAGUCGAACGGAAAGGCCUCUUUCGGGGGGUACUCGAGUGGCGAACGGGUGAGUAACACGUGAGUAACCUGCCCUUGACUUUGGGAUAACUUUAGGAAACUGGGGCUAAUACCGGAUAGGAGCUCCUGCUGCAUGGUGGGGGUUGGAAAGUUUCGGCGGUUGGGGAUGGACUCGCGGCUUAUCAGCUUGUUGGUGGGGUAGUGGCUUACCAAGGCUUUGACGGGUAGCCGGCCUGAGAGGGUGACCGGCCACAUUGGGACUGAGAUACGGCCCAGACUCCUACGGGAGGCAGCAGUGGGGAAUAUUGCACAAUGGGUGGAAGCCUGAUGCAGCAACGCCGUGUGCGGGAUGACGGCCUUCGGGUUGUAAACCGCUUUCGCUCAUGACGAAGCUUUGUGUGACGGUAGUGGGUAAAGAAGCACCGGCUAACUACGUG